This 734-nucleotide long non-coding RNA is filed under the name Coffea arabica (coffee). Its description in RNAcentral is "long non-coding RNA (CARA_LNC006740)". Lineage: Eukaryota; Viridiplantae; Streptophyta; Magnoliopsida; Gentianales; Rubiaceae. The record is from RNAcentral.
CAACAUCUUUUCAGUUGAUCAAGCACCACCCCUUUAUUGGUACUUCUCUGAUCCAAGAAACCAAUGAUCUUGAUUACCAUCCACCUAAAAGUUUGAACUAUUAAGAAGCCAAGGAAAGAAUUUUGUAGUGUAAAAGCUUACCUGUCUUUUGCAUCAUCAAUGUAAUAGUAUAUAUACUGUAUUCUACACGAAAGAAUUUUUAUUUCUGAACUAGAUGAAGUUUCUUGAGGAAAUUUAUGGUAUAAAUUUGGCGGAAAUGUCAAGUAUCUCCUACUAAUUAACAAUCAUGUCGGAUAUUAACUCGUAAUAUUUUCGUACAAGCAAGAGCGUCAGUGUUUAGCAGUGACACUGGAUAAGGAGGUAGAUGAAUUCAUGUCCUUGAACAAUCAUUGAUUACCAAUUGAUCACUCUACGUGAAACCAUGCACCUGUAGUAUGUGAGUUUGACAUCAACCUUGUAAUGCACAUUGAUAAAGAAAAAGGCAAGACGAGGUAGCAUAGCAUCAAAUCAUCAACACAGGAGCCAGAGCAGUUUUACCUGUAAACCUCAAAAGAUUCAUGAAGGAAGAGAGUUCGAGUCCCACCUACCCCUCCAUCCAGCUCCCCUUUCACCAUGAUGUUAACUUCAGUGAAGUUUUGCGCUAUGGUAUAUCUGCCAGGGCAAGGGGAGCAUCGAUUUGGAGCAGGCGACGAUCGAGAUUUUGGGUACAGUAGUUGUACUUUUUUAUAAGAAAA